Molecule: ribosomal RNA, 433 nt
Filed under: uncultured bacterium
Lineage: Bacteria
Description: partial 16S ribosomal RNA
Rfam family: Bacterial small subunit ribosomal RNA
Source: RNAcentral
AACGAACGCUGGCGGCAUGCCUAACACAUGCAAGUCGAACGAGACCUUCGGGUCUCGUGGCGCACGGGUGCGUAACGCGUGGGAACCUGCCCUUAGGUUCGGAAUAACUCCCCGAAAGGGGUGCUAAUACCGGAUAAUGUCUUCGGACCAACGAUUUAUCGCCUUUGGAUGGGCCCGCGUUGGAUUAGCUAGUUGGUAGGGUAAAAGCCUACCAAGGCGAAGAUCCCUAGCUGGUUUGGGAGGAUGGUCAGCAACACUGGGACUGGGACACGGCCCAGACUCCUCCGGAAGGCAGCAGGGGGGAAUAUUGGACGACGGGCGAAAGCCUGAUGCAGCAAUGCCGCGUAAGUGAUGAAGGCCUUAGGGUUGUAAAGCUCUUUUACCCGGGAUGAUAAUGACAGUACCGGGAGAAUAAGCUCCGGCUAACUCCGUG